This 478-nucleotide ribosomal RNA is filed under the name uncultured bacterium. Its description in RNAcentral is "partial 16S ribosomal RNA". It matches the Rfam family "Bacterial small subunit ribosomal RNA", at positions 29 to 507 of the family's 1533-position model. The record is from RNAcentral.
ACGAACGCUGGCGGCGUGCUUAACACAUGCAAGUCGAACGAAGCUUGAUUACGGAUUCUUCGGAAGAAGUAUGAUAUGACUGAGUGGCGGACGGGUGAGUAACGCGUGAGUAACCUGCCCUUCAGAGGGGGAUAGCGUUUGGAAACGAACGGUAAUACCGCAUAAUGUAUUUUGACCGCAUGAUCGAAAUACCAAAGAUUUAUCGCUGAAGGAUGGACUCGCGUCUGAUUAGGUAGUUGGUGGGGUAACGGCCUACCAAGCCGACGAUCAGUAGCCGGACUGAGAGGUUGAUCGGCCACAUUGGGACUGAGACACGGCCCAGACUCCUACGGGAGGCAGCAGUGGGGAAUAUUGCACAAUGGGCGCAAGCCUGAUGCAGCAACGCCGCGUGAAGGAAGACGGUUUUCGGAUUGUAAACUUCUGUUCUUAGUGAAGAAUAAUGACGGUAGCUAAGGAGCAAGCCACGGCUAACUACGUG